UACGUAGGGGGCAAGCGUUGUCCGGAAUCAUUGGGCGUAAAGCGCGUGUAGGCGGCUGAGUAAGUCUGCUCUGAAAGCCCGGGGCUCAACCCCGGGAGGCGGGUGGAUACUGCUCAGCUCGAGUCCGGAAGAGGAGUGUGGAAUUCCUGGUGUAGCGGUGAAAUGCGCAGAUAUCGGGAGGAACACCAAUGGCGAAGGCAGCUCGCUGGGACGUUACUGACGCUGAGACGCGAAAGCGUGGGGAGCAAACAGG
Molecule: ribosomal RNA, 253 nt
Filed under: uncultured bacterium
Lineage: Bacteria
Description: partial 16S ribosomal RNA
Rfam family: Bacterial small subunit ribosomal RNA
Source: RNAcentral